This 499-nucleotide ribosomal RNA is filed under the name Neogloboquadrina incompta. Its description in RNAcentral is "bacterial SSU rRNA". It matches the Rfam family "Eukaryotic small subunit ribosomal RNA", at positions 1193 to 1457 of the family's 1831-position model. The record is from RNAcentral. Lineage: Eukaryota; Foraminifera; Rotaliida; Globorotaliidae.
AUUUGACUCAACGCGGGAAAUCUUACCAGGUCCGGACACACUGAGGAUUGACAGGAAGUAUCGUCUUUUGAAUUCUUUAAGGAUAUGUCGUUUUUAAUGACAUCUUUUAGAUGGAUGAUUCGUGUAAAUAUGCUAGUUCUUUCAUGAUUAUGUGAUAGGUGGUGCAUGGCCGUUCUUAGUUCGUGGAGUGAUCUGUCUGCUUAAUUGCGUUUCACUAAGGCCCCAAAGUUAGCAAAUUAUCAAUCGUUACAGAGUCGACCCCUCACCUUUGAGUGCGCGUCCUAACUUGUAGUACAUGGUGUAAAUGGAUUUGUUUUGGGUACCCAGAAAGCAACGAACGUGACCGCAACGUCUUGUUGUCUCUCUUUGACAGUUAUGGGUUAUCCCAGUCAUGUGUUUAUACUUUUAUGUGUAAAUACGUACGACACAGAGACUAGAUACCAAACUAGGUGUACCGCUGUAUCAUUUCUUUAAACCAGAGGAAGGUUGCGGCAAUAAC